This 484-nucleotide ribosomal RNA is filed under the name uncultured bacterium. RNAcentral describes it as "partial 16S ribosomal RNA". It matches the Rfam family "Bacterial small subunit ribosomal RNA", at positions 30 to 507 of the family's 1533-position model. The record is from RNAcentral.
AUUGAACGCUGGCGGCAGGCCUAACACAUGCAAGUCGAGCGGAUGAAGGGAGCUUGCUCCUGGAUUCAGCGGCGGACGGGUGAGUAAUGCCUAGGAAUCUGCCUGGUAGUGGGGGAUAACGUCCGGAAACGGGCGCUAAUACCGCAUACGUCCUGAGGGAGAAAGUGGGGGAUCUUCGGACCUCGCGCUAUCAGAUGAGCCUAGGUCGGAUUAGCUAGUUGGUGGGGUAAAGGCCUACCAAGGCGACGAUCCGUAACUGGUCUGAGAGGAUGAUCAGUCACACUGGAACGGAGACACGGUCCAGACUCCUACGGGAGGAAGCAGUGGGGAAUAUUGGACAAUGGGCGAAAGCCUGAUCCAGCCAUGCCGCGUGUGGGAAGAAGUUCUUCGGAUUGUAAAGCACGUUAAGUUGGGAGGAAGGGCAGUAAGUUAAUACCUUGCUGUUUUGACGUUACCAACAGAAUAAGCACCGGCUAACUUCGUG